UACGUAGGGGGCGAGCGUUGUCCGGAUUCAUUGGGCGUAAAGAGCUCGUAGGCGGCUUGGUAAGUCGGGUGUGAAACCUCCAGGCUCAACCUGGAGACGCCACUCGAUACUGCCAUGGCUAGAGUCCGGUAGGGGCCCACGGAAUUCCCGGUGUAGAGGUGAAAUUCGUAGAUAUCGGGAGGAACACCAGUGGCGAAGGCGGCGAUCUGGGAAGAUACGUGACGCUGAGGUGCGAAAGCGUGGGGAGCAAACAGG
RNAcentral lists this ribosomal RNA (255 nucleotides) under uncultured bacterium. RNAcentral's name for it is "partial 16S ribosomal RNA". It matches the Rfam family "Bacterial small subunit ribosomal RNA", at positions 524 to 776 of the family's 1533-position model. The record is from RNAcentral.